This 246-nucleotide ribosomal RNA is filed under the name uncultured bacterium. RNAcentral describes it as "partial 16S ribosomal RNA". It matches the Rfam family "Bacterial small subunit ribosomal RNA", at positions 524 to 768 of the family's 1533-position model. The record is from RNAcentral.
UACGUAGGGUGCGAGCGUUAAUCGGAAUUACUGGGCGUAAAGCGUGCGCAGGCGGUUUUGUAAGCCAGAUGUGAAAUCCCCGGGCUUAACCUGGGAAUGGCAUUUGGGACUGCAAGGCUUGAGUGCGGCAGAGGAGACUGGAAUUCCUGGUGUAGCAGUGAAAUGCGUAGAUAUCAGGAGGAACACCGAUGGCGAAGGCAGGUCUCUGGGCUGACACUGACGCUCAUGCACGAAAGGCGUGGGGAG